Molecule: long non-coding RNA, 2071 nt
Organism: Camarhynchus parvulus
Lineage: Eukaryota; Metazoa; Chordata; Aves; Passeriformes; Thraupidae
Exons: 4
Source: RefSeq, a predicted model, not a curated record
UCUUGGGACAGAUUUAAAAAUUAGCAGAGGGAAAAGCAAUCUUCUCCAAGGGGCCUCUUAGGACAGCUAAAGGGAAAGGCUCUACUUUUGAUGGCAGCUUUCAGGCAGGCAGCGCAGAACAGCUCCAUGGUGUGUUGUCCAGUGUACUGUGUUACCUAGUGUGUCUUUGGGUUCCCUUUUGCCUUUUCCCCUCGAGACCCUCACCACAAGCAUAUUGUGUCGUGUUUAACAUCCCCCUGUUUGUCACAUUCUGUGUCACGGGUGUCUGCACAUGUUUGCACCGGAGUUGUUCUGCCCUGCCGCAUAGCCUGCUGCAAUAGGACAAGUCCCGGGGACUCGCAGUUUGUGGGGUGUCACCGGACUCUAGAUGAUAUUCCUAGAUAGGCAGAAGAUGUUUGGAGCUGUGAAGUUGUCCUGCAGCCCUUUGACUUUUGUCCUCACUUUCUUUCAGAUGCAGAGGAUAAAAUCCAGGGCAAAAUCCAUCCACCCAUCCUGGGUGAGGAGGUCCCCCCGAGCAGGAAGUAAAUCUGGAUACCAGCAGUCAAGGCAAUCCACUCGGAGUAUGCCAAGCCCCCGUCACCAACCGGCCGACGCGCCGAGUUUCCUGCUCUCGUGAGCCCCGUGGAUGUAUUACAGGACCUGAUGGUGAAGCCCUGAACUUUUCUAUUCAAAGGUGCCAUCCAGGUGUCCUUUGGCAACUGCCAAGGAGUCGGGGUGAGUCGGGGAAGUAGGGAGGAGGAGCGAGGGUCCACUCAGGUUUCAGCCAUGAGAAAUCACCUCAUCUCCUCUUUACCCAGGCACCCCCUGUGACGAAGGCCUCGGUCUCGAAGCGUGCGAGCCCGAGCAGCUGGGCAUUCCUAGGAGCAUGCUGUGUAAGAGACCAGAGCCCGGUGACAGCAGGACCUUCCCGGCUGACGAGGUGGCCUUUCUUUGCACCUGAGACCGGCAUCCCCAGAUGUCUGAGAGAUAAGUAGAGGGCUACGGCCCACAGAGGGGAUUAAAGCAGGGUGCUGGUUUGGGAAUUACCGGGAGGGGUUUUUGAGUCCGCUUUGGAGGUGGGGGUUGUUCAUGAGGUGGCCCCUUUAGGCCCCAUAAAAGCAAAGUCUCACUUGUGAUCACAGUGCUGAGGUGCGCAGGGCAGAGCAGUCCCGGUGUGUCUGGUGUCACUUGUCUAUUGUGCCUUAUGUGUUGUUUGUGUAUCUCAUGUCUUUUACCUCAGCCCUUUGAGGGGCCUGUCAGGAACCUUGGCAUCAUUCUUAGCAUCUGCGAUCUCUGCAUUCCUUGGCCUGGCACCCAGGCCCUAGAACUUUUGACUCGGGAGCUCAGACAGGCAUCAGACUCUCUUCUCUCUUUGGAAGCAUCCGGUCAGAUGUCUUUUCAGGUCUUGUUCUGAGCUGUACGGACAGCUAUGCCCUGCCAGGAUCCAUUGUGGCGGGCUAGGACUUGAAAGAAUGUGAGGACAGGUAGAGGCUUCUGACUGUAGGAUUCUCGGGCAUCCAUCUUUGCAUUCAUCUUGGAAUAAAUGAUUCAGUUAGCAUCUUCUUCCUCCAGGGUUCUCUGAGCCUCAUCAGCUCACCAUCGGUCUCAGCUCAGUCAUCUCAUUUUGCAUUCUCUCAGUCCCUGCAGCCAUUUUCCUUGCCAAGUGUUUUUCUCUCCGUGUCUCGUGUCCUUUGUUUGUCACGUCCUGUCUGUCCUGGGUCACGGGUGUUUGCACAUAUCUGUGCCGGAGCUGCUCUGCCCUGCCGCACAGCCUGGUGCAAUAGGAGAAGUCCCGGGGACUUGAAGUUUGUAAUGUGGGGUGUAGUUGGACUCUAGAUGGGGUUUGUAGAUGGACACAGUAUAUCUGGAGCUCUUAAGUUAUCCUGCAGCCCUUUGACUUUCAUCCUAACUUUCUUUCAGAUGCCGAAGGAUAAAAUCCAGGGCAGUGCACCCCAUCCUGGAUGAGGGGAUUCCCCUGAGCAGGUCAGUCACUGUUUGUCUCUGCAGAGGAAGCAUAAAUGGUAGCUUUUACAGCACUGUUCUUUGUCUUUCUUUUUAGGAAGUGAAGGCAGAGAGCAGCUGUCAAGGCCGA